GCCCAAAAGGUGAUUGUGGACCAGGCUAUCUUGGUGACUUUUGUGACGUGAAAUGUCCGUAUCCAAGUUUUGGUACGGAAUGUCAGGAUGAAUGUUUGUGUGAACAGGAGAAGUGUGAUCCUGAAGGUCAGAAGGUAAUUUCAUGGAAGUGGUAACAACACCUGCUCCAACGUCCAGGAUGACCCAUAAUAUCAUCGUA
Ostrea edulis (European flat oyster) is the source of this 199-nucleotide long non-coding RNA. RefSeq lists it as uncharacterized. The transcript is spliced from 3 exons. The record is from RefSeq and is a predicted model, not a curated record. NCBI's taxonomy places the organism in Eukaryota, Metazoa, Mollusca, Bivalvia, Ostreida, Ostreidae.